Molecule: long non-coding RNA, 1664 nt
Organism: Athene cunicularia (burrowing owl)
Lineage: Eukaryota; Metazoa; Chordata; Aves; Strigiformes; Strigidae
Exons: 4
Source: RefSeq, a predicted model, not a curated record
AGAGGUCAUGUGAAAUUUGGUCUCAGAAACUCUGACCUGUUCCUCUGUCUUGCAUUGCCUGGCCAUUAAAGCAGGAAGUACUGCCUUAAUAAUCCAGUGGGAAAAUAACCGUGGGGACAGACAAAACAGGAGGAAAGACUGCAGUAGAAAGUACUGGGGUAUAUUGAACCAAGUGGGAGUUGUGCACAUGCACCGAGUUUCACACAUAUGGGUCAUUUAUAAUCACCAAUACAGCAAAAACAUGAGGAAGAGAAAUUAAAAGCUUUCUUCAGAUCCCAACAGAGGAAAUGUUGAAGAAAUAGACACACUUCCUGUAAGGCUGGUAAAGAAACCAUGAUAAUACAAGGAACGGGGAACAAGUGAUAAAACAAGAAUGAUCAGAUCAAUGAAUCUCUUAAAUUUAAAGGUGCAAAACUGAAGAAAAUUAUUAGCUGGACCAUUACUGAAAAUUAAGGCUCUACGUGUAGCAAAAUCAAGGAAACUCAGUAUUUGAAAGCUAAUUACAACUCCUGAGAGCUCUAAAUAUUAUUGUAUGCUAAAAAUAGCUGUGUGAUGAUGCAGUCAAUGCCUAUCCAAGUUUUAGGGUUUGAAAAACAAACUGCUUGUGAUCUCUUCUGGCCACUAGCCUGGCAAACAUAUGGAAUACAAAUGGAGCAAGAUUUUUUUUUUCUGUGGUUUAUAUACAAACUCAUUUGCAGAAGCAGCAGGCAAAGCCAAGAGAAGAAAACUGGCCAAAAUGAGAGCAUGUUCAGUUCUGCAGCAUGGCUUGUUUAAAAGAAAAGCUGCUACCAAUCAAGAGGCUGAGCUAGAAAGGCUUAACUUUUUCAGACUCGUAAGAUACCACCACGCAAAUUCGACCUGCUGUAUUUGCAUUCAGUCCCAGAGAAGUCCCUCUGUCUACAGGAAUGUCACAGCCAAUCUGUUGUGGUCCUGACUUGACCUGGCAUCUCUCUAAUAUCAAUGGGCACAAUUCAUAAUUUCCUCCAGAGCUGCAAUGCUGAACCAUGAUCUGGACAGGACAUCUUGAUACGCAGAAGGGAGAUCUCUAAUCCUGUGACACAUCCUUAGUGAUUAACUCAAGGGAAAAACAACCAAACAACCAAUUGGUGCUAGAGAAGGGAGAGCUGAAGAAUAUGAAAAAAUUGCUGCAUCUUUGCCCAUUAUGCAAUUCUGUGAAGAUUUCAGGUGUGUCCUGGUUUUAGUCUGGGACCAACUGUAAGUGAAAUGCAUUCCUAUGGAAAACAGAAAGAAAAUUGUAGAACAAUUCAGACAUAAAUUUACACUCAUAUCCCAGGCUGCAUCUUUAUGGGUUAUAUUCUGGAAGGCCAAAUAUCAGAUUGUCCUGUCCUGGUUGAUAACAGGCAAACUCACCACUUGAAAGUUCAGAGAAGGCAUUAGCUUGUAUAUUUGACUCUAGUUCAUUCGAUCCACAUAAAUCUGAAUUGAAACCAGCCAACCAAAAAACCCCCACAUGAUUUCUCUGCUGCAAUCAUGGAUUAAAAUGGUUUGUGAGGAUGAAAAAUUCAGCUGGAUACUUAGUAUUUUUAUGGUAAUGGUUUGACUGGGGUCUUGUCUUGUCCAAACUGGUAUGAGGUCUCAAGUGAGAGGAAAUGCAGAUCACAGUGGUGUACCUCACCCACAGCCAGAGGUUUACUGGUCAGCAG